AGGGUUUAGAUAGUUGGUCCCCUGGUAAGAAAACAACUCUUAAGAAAUAUGAAUAAGUCUUGCUUGAUCAAAAACACACAAACUGAGGAAACCAUUGAUGUUCAAGAAGCAAUAAGUACUUUGUUACCACCACGCAAUAAAUAAAAAAAUAGAAUGGAAGGGCAUUAUACCCGCCUAUUAGAAGGAAAAAAUGCAAAGACAACAUAUAUUUUUUUAACAAAUGCAAUAUAUGUAUUUAUGAGCCUGAAAUAAGCACAUAUACAUAGUGAGGAUAUAUUAUCAAAUAGAUAAUAUAAUUUUUUGUAAUAAAUGUUGCAGAAAAGAACAAGUGAAGUACAAACAUUGCACAUUUCAUAUUUUGAAGGAGAAUGUGUAAGAAAAGAUUUUUUUUUCACAAGCUACAAAAAGAGAAAUAUGUUUAAGCUUACCAUGCCAACUUAAAUACAAACUUUGCACAUUAUCAUAUUUUAAAGGAGAACGUGUAACAAAGGAUUUUUUUUUUCUCCCUCAAGAUAAAAGAGAGAAAUAUGUUUUAGCUUACAAUGCCAACUAACUCAGCACACUGGCAUUGCAAUUACACAAUCAUAUUGGCCUUCUGUUUUGUUUUCCUCCAUAUUGUCAAUCUGAGUUUAGCUUAAUGAUAUGCAUUUCUAUAUUUGCUAUCUUUGAUCUGCAAUAAAUCACAUGCAUUUAUCACCUUUUCUCAUGCUUGUGGUAAGUAUUUACACCCUUUAUAUCAUUGUUAAUAUAACCAACAACAAAAUAACCAAGUACUUGCCUUGUAAUUACUUAUGUCUCAUGACAUCUGACAAUCCCAAAAUACACAAGAAUACUCACUUCAUCUAGCUCAGUCUUACUGAAAAUGUUUUCGGAACUCCUCUAGUACUAUGUACAGGACAAGCUGACAAAACCAACCAUUCUAUGGUUUCUUGAAGCCUGGUAUUUUUAAUGAAAGUGCAUUCAAAUGAUUUCUUUAGUUCCUUAGUAACACCCAUUUGAAUUCUUGUGCCAUCAAUCAGCACCACAAAACAAUGAGCAUACAUCAUCAUGUUUCCUACGAGGUUUUAAAAUGAUGGAGGCAUCACAUGCGCAGCCUGGAGUUGGUCAGCAUACAUAGGCAUGCAAGAUGGGUGCCUGACCACAGCCACCGCUGCACCAAUGGCUACAGCAGAACCACCAACACCGGUUGCGCUGCAGGCACAACUAGCAGUCCACUCUACUUAACAUGAAAGAUGCACAAACAAAGAGUUACAUAUACAUCAAUGGAAAACCUCCCUUGUUCAAUUCUUACCAAGUUACCUGGAGGCCCAUCCAUCAUAUUACCUUUUCCAUUUUUGUUGUCGUAUGUAGGCCUCUCCCUUAGAUGCCUAUAAAGUGACUCAGGACCCAAUAAACAUGGCCUUCAUAGUCAGUCUCUCUUUUCUGGAAAAAAAGAACAUAAUUAAUGAACCAACCUAGUUGCUCUCAUAAACUCCCAUGAUUAUGUUGGUGAUUGUAGUGAACAUCUCACCCUUCUACACCCUCUUCAACAGCUCCUUAUUGAUUGGAUCAAUAUGACAAACACAUUUAUUAUUAUCUUAAAUGUAUUAUUCAAAAAGAAUCCUUAUUCACUCAACUUUUAAGCAUACUCGCCAAUUCUCAACUCACUACAUUUCACUUUAAUUGCAUUAUAAUCACUCUAAUGGGUUUUAUUGGCAUGUAUAUAUUCCUACUCUACCUUUCCCUUUCCAUUAAUAUUUUCGAACCUUUUCUCAAGCAUAAUCUAUUUCCGGGAUUUUUCUAAGACAUAAAGUUAGACUUAUAAAGUUAACUGACUUCUUGCAUUACUUUUUGUCAUUCACUAAACUAAGAUAUUUUUAUCAAUAUUUUUCCGAUUGUAGAAUUUAUUAUACCAAUAUCCCUAUUAGUAGUUUCAAAUAACUUUUCAUGAACCAUCUAUGGGACCAUUUUUUCACCACCAAUUUUCCAUGCCAAUAUGUCUUCAAACUAUAACAUGAGCAAUGUUUCUUAAUUUCUUAUCAUCAUAGUAACUUCUCAAAAUCCAUACCAUGUUUGCUUGCUACGUAACUUCAACUUUACCUCUUUUAAAUUAAUGCACUGCCCGCCGUUGAAGGUCACCACCACUAAGACCCUAUUUGGGAUUACUGUUGGCAGUAGAGCUUUUGAAGCUUUUGAGAAACAGAAUUUUUGAAAGUAGAGCUUUUACAAAAAGCUAUUUGCUAUUUGAUAACCAUAUUAAUAAAGCGCUUUGAGGAAAGCAAAAUAGCUUCUCGAUAUUAGCCAAAAAGUACUUUUGGGGACAGCUUCAAAAUACAGCUUUUCCCAAAUAGAUCUUUUUAGCUUUCUAGCAAAGUCAAAACAGCUUUCCGACAUUUUUAUCAAACAUCGCUGUAUCACUGCAAAGUACUUUCUGAGAGCCAGAAAGUGCUUUCUGGCACUCUAAAAGCUUAGCCAAAUAAGGCCUAAGACAACUACUUGUUCCAUCUUCACACAACCAAUACAUGCAAGCAUCUUAAUCAUUUUAAAAUUUAACAAGGUAAAUUCUUAAUUUGUGUCCCAGCUAAUCCACUCCCACAAUAUAUUAAAUGGUCAUUUAUGUUCUUCAAAUAUGUAUCCACCAAUAUUGCAUAAUGGGUCUCAUUGUAAAAUCAUUUAUUAUGUUCCUCAUUACUUCUGUAGCUUUACAUUUGCAUCUCUACCAUCUUUCCCUGCAAAGAUAUUCAAGUUUUACCAAUAAAAAUCAUUCUCUUUCAUUCAAACAUACAUCUAGACAAACAAUAAUUUUCACUAUGGCAUACAAAACAUAUGUUCUGCAUAUGCAUUUACCCAACAAUUACAAAUUUAGCUAAUGAGUGACCAUGGCAAAUCAUUUAACUUAUUAACAGAAUUGGACAACGACCUUAAAUCAUAAUAGGCAUCUGCAUAUGAAACAAACACUAAGCAUACAAAGUUUUAGAACAGCAUUAAACUAAGGCCUUGUAUAAUGGUAGAAUCAAACAUGCAAAAUUGCAACAGUAUUAUUAAUAACUAUUAUAAGAUGGAUUUGGAUUUCAAUAAAUCUAUUGUUCAAUGAACUUGUGGAGGAAAGGCGUACUAAGUUAUUGAAAGUUUUCAAGCGCUCUUCAUUCAGCACUUGAAAUAGUUGAUAAUUAAAGAGCUCUUACUUGCUUUAAAAUGUUUAAAUAUAACACUCCAAGUGUCAGCAACUUAGCCAAAACAAGCAUGACAUACACAUGAGGGGGUAGUACAUAUUCUGGUGUCACAUCCAAGUGUCAGAAGUUUCAAAGGUCCAGUGCCAUAAAACUUCAACUCUGAAAAUCUUUAGACCUUUUAAAGUGCAGAUCAGAAGCUCCAGUCAAAUUGAUACAAACACAUAAUCAUUUUAUGUGGUAAAAUCAUUAUCUAUAUCAAAGAAUCUAUAUAUCUUACAUUUUUUCAAAAAUAAUUAUGUAUCUGAACUUAAAUUAGGCAUAUUGCUACUUAUAAAUCUGAAACUACUUUUAAAAUCUCAUGAGAUUCUUGGAUGCAUUAGUCUUACAUUAGAAUAAAAAAAACUGGAUAUAUACAUGAUUGUAGUGGCCGCAAGCAUAGAGCUGAUAAGCAAUCUAGCCAUGAUAGGAAGUAAAAGGGGAUAAGAACCAUAUAAAAGAAGAUUAAGUCAAUGCUGCAAAUAGUGAAAGCAAAGUUUGUAAGAAGAAUGUACUCAUUGUGCCUCCUAGACUUGGUUAAUAAAAACGAUUCACCAAUCAAACAUAAAGCUCACAUGGUGUGGUUCAUACUGUAACAUCUCAGAAUUCAUCAAUAAGUAUAUCUUUUCCCUCACAAAACUCAUAGUGAUUCUAAUAUCAACAACAUAUGGCAAGAUUAAAACAUUGCAUGUAUCGGAACUCAUACUACAAUAAUAUAAUCUCUUUGAUAAUGCAUCUACAUCAAAGAAAAUGAAGCAGUAAGCAAUGUAACAUCCAACAAAGCAAAAAUGGCAGGUGUUGGGGGUAAAGUUAUAAGAUUUUAUCAAUAUAAAAUUGUAAUGAAAUCUUUGAUAAGACUUAUCUUAUCACAGUCACUGAACUUAACUAUUAGAACCCUUCCAGCAAAUUUCAACUUAUUAGCAAGUAGCAACCGCUGAGCAAGCACUUGGCCAUGAACCCAUACAUAUGCAAUAAUUGAUAAUCAAAGAAUUGGCAGAUGCCGGUAAUUUCUGAUUAAAAAGGAUAAGUUGAAAUGAAUAAGGGAUAUUUAUUGUCUAAAGAUUAUUUAGAGGUUAAAAAAUGAACUUGUGAUGUUCCAACUUUUCAACCAUACAAGCACUAAGAUGGAAAACAGGCAGACUGAGAAUGUGAGUUACAAACAUUAAAAAAGUUCUUUUAGAUACGAUCUUGAAUAUGGCAACAUCAAAGACUAAGAGGAAUCAAAUAAUUCCAAACAUAUGGGUCAAAGUUGGGAAACCCUACACAUUUCAAGAAAACCCAAAAGAAAUCAUCAGAAAGAUGCUACCUGUAAGAUGCCUACAUCAAGACUUAUAGGACAUACAGUAACCACAGGCAUCUGAGUCAAUGUCAGGAAAUUGGAUAAAUUUCCAGAAAAUGCAAAAGAAAUCAUCAUAAAGAUACUAGUUUUAAGAUAACGACAUCAAUGACUUAUAGGACUCACGUAAUUGCAACAUCCGUAUCAAAGCCAGGCAAUCAUAGAAAUUUCAAGAAAACCCAAUAGGAAUCAUCAGAAAGAUAAGCAACAUCAAUGACUUAUAGACUCACGCAACUGCAAGCAUCUGUAUCAAAGUUAGGAAAUCAUAGAGAACCCAAAAGAAAUCAUCAGAAAGAUACUGGCUCUAAGAUGGCAACAACAUUGACUUGUAGGACCGAACUAAUUGCAAACGAUUGUGUCAUGUAAGGAAAUCAAAGAAAUUUCAAGAACCCAAAGAAAUUAUCAAAGAUGCCUGAUUCUUUGAGAUGAGAAAAUCAAUGAUUCAUAGUAUAACACUAAGUAUGUCCACAUACCAACACGUCAAUAGAACUUCCUUGACCUCAGUUCGACGAUCAAGAAGCCAUCAAACGAAAAAGCAUCCAAUUCAACGAUCAAGAAAAUGAAAGAAAGCCAACUGUGGUGCGACAGGAUUACAACGAAGGGGAAUGAGAAAAAGGUAAAGAAACGAGGAGAGGGCAAAUUAAAUUAAAUUUUAAUGGAUAAUUACAGUUUCGUGCGGAAGAAUAAACCAAAUUCCGCAGAAAUUCUUGGCAAAAGGGAGAAGAAACUUCUUGAAAAGCAAAAAAAAAAGAGACUAUAAUCAGUAAAUAAAUAAAUUCUGCUCGAAUAAAACCCUAGAUAUCUUACCGCAUUGGGGGAAGAGGGACCAAGAGGGGAACAUGAGCUCUCGUCACCGAUCAAAGCCACCGAACAGGAAACGGCACCUUCGUCGUGUUGCCACCGGAAGACGUCGGAGAGGAGACGACACUUUCGUCAAUCAAAGACGCCGGAGGGGAGAGACGCCGCCUUCGCCGCGAAUCAAGAGAGUAUGGAGUCGCUGGUCUAGC
Molecule: long non-coding RNA, 5531 nt
Filed under: Elaeis guineensis (African oil palm)
Lineage: Eukaryota; Viridiplantae; Streptophyta; Magnoliopsida; Arecales; Arecaceae
Description: long non-coding RNA (EGUI_LNC000802)
Source: RNAcentral